This 408-nucleotide ribosomal RNA is filed under the name Sclerotinia sclerotiorum. RNAcentral's name for it is "eukaryotic LSU rRNA". The stretch from base 64 to 217 matches the Rfam family "5.8S ribosomal RNA". Lineage: Eukaryota; Fungi; Ascomycota; Leotiomycetes; Helotiales; Sclerotiniaceae. The record is from RNAcentral.
AAGUAAAAGUCGUAACCCGACACUCUUUUUAUUAGUGCCGUCUGAGUACUAUAUAAUAGUUAAAACUUUCAACAACGGAUCUCUUGGUUCUGGCAUCGAUGAAGAACGCAGCGAAAUGCGAUAAGUAAUGUGAAUUGCAGAAUUCAGUGAAUCAUCGAAUCUUUGAACGCACAUUGCGCCCCUUGGUAUUCCGGGGGGCAUGCCUGUUCGAGCGUCAUUUCAACCCUCAAGCUCAGCUUGGUAUUGAGUCCAUGUCAGUAAUGGCAGGCUCUAAAAUCAGUGGCGGCGCCGCUGGGUCCUAAACGUAGUAAUAUAUCUCGUUACAGGUUCUCAGUGAGCUUCUGCCAAAACCCAAAUUUUCUAUGGUUGACCUCGGAUCAGGUAGGGAUACCCGCUGAACUUAAGCAU